AACGAACGCUGGCGGCAGGCUUAACACAUGCAAGUUGAACGGGAUUCAUUCUAGCUUGCUAGAAUGAUGAGAGUAGCGCACGGGUGAGUAACACAUGGGAACGUACCAUGAAGAGGGGGAUAACAGUUGGAAACGACUGCUAAUACCGCAUAAUCCCUGAGGGGGAAAGAUUUAUCGCUUUAUGAACGGCCCGCGGAAGAUUAGAUAGUUGGUGGGGUAAAGGCCUACCAAGUCUACGAUCUAUAGCUGGUCUGAGAGGACGAUCAGCCACACUGGGACUGAGACACGGCCCAGACUCCUACGGGAGGCAGCAGUGAGGAAUAUUGGGCAAUGGGGGCAACCCUGACCCAGCCAUGCCGCGUGAGUGAAGAAGGUUUUCGGAUUGUAAAGCUCUUUCGGAUGUGAAGAUGAUGACGGUAGCAUCUAAAGAAGCCCCGGCAAACUUCGUGCCAGCCGCCGCGGUAACAC
RNAcentral lists this ribosomal RNA (468 nucleotides) under uncultured bacterium. Its description in RNAcentral is "bacterial SSU rRNA". It matches the Rfam family "Bacterial small subunit ribosomal RNA", at positions 29 to 526 of the family's 1533-position model. The record is from RNAcentral.